This 2893-nucleotide ribosomal RNA is filed under the name Acinetobacter baumannii. RNAcentral's name for it is "23S ribosomal RNA". It matches the Rfam family "Bacterial large subunit ribosomal RNA". The record is from RNAcentral. Lineage: Bacteria; Pseudomonadati; Pseudomonadota; Gammaproteobacteria; Moraxellales; Moraxellaceae.
AGUCAAGUAAUUAAGUGCAUGUGGUGGAUGCCUUGGCAGUCAGAGGCGAUGAAAGACGUGAUAGCCUGCGAAAAGCUCCGGGGAGGCGGCAAAUAUCCUUUGAUCCGGAGAUGUCUGAAUGGGGGAACCCACCUACUUUAAGGUAGGUAUUGCAACAUGAAUACAUAGUGUUGCAAGGCGAACGAGGGGAAGUGAAACAUCUCAGUACCCUUAGGAAAAGAAAUCAAUUGAGAUUCCCUCAGUAGCGGCGAGCGAACGGGGAUCAGCCCAUUAAGUUAUGUGUGUUUUAGUGGAACGCUCUGGGAAGUGCGAACGUAGAGGGUGAUAUUCCCGUACACGAAAGGGCACACAUAAUGAUGACGAGUAGGGCGAGGCACGUGAAACCUUGUCUGAAUAUGGGGGGACCAUCCUCCAAGGCUAAAUACUCCUGACUGACCGAUAGUGAACCAGUACCGUGAGGGAAAGGCGAAAAGAACCCCUGUGAGGGGAGUGAAAUAGAUCCUGAAACCGCAUGCAUACAAGCAGUGGGAGCACCUUUUUGGUGUGACUGCGUACCUUUUGUAUAAUGGGUCAGCGACUUAUAUUCAGUAGCGAGGUUAACCGUAUAGGGGAGCCGUAGAGAAAUCGAGUCUUAAUAGGGCGUUUAGUUGCUGGGUAUAGACCCGAAACCAGGCGAUCUAUCCAUGAGCAGGUUGAAGGUUGGGUAACACUAACUGGAGGACCGAACCCACUGUCGUUGAAAAGCCAGGGGAUGACUUGUGGAUAGGGGUGAAAGGCUAAUCAAGCCUGGUGAUAGCUGGUUCUCCCCGAAAGCUAUUUAGGUAGCGCCUCGGACGAAUACCAUAGGGGGUAGAGCACUGUUUCGGCUAGGGGGUCAUCCCGACUUACCAAACCGAUGCAAACUCCGAAUACCUAUGAGUACUAUCCGGGAGACAGACUGCGGGUGCUAACGUCCGUAGUCAAGAGGAAAACAAUCCAGACCGCCAGCUAAGGCCCCAAAAUCAUAGUUAAGUGGGAAACGAUGUGGGAAGGCAUAGACAGCUAGGAGGUUGGCUUAGAAGCAGCCACCCUUUAAAGAAAGCGUAAUAGCUCACUAGUCGAGUCGGCCUGCGCGGAAGAUGUAACGGGGCUAAAACUAUGUGCCGAAGCUGCGGAUGUAUACUUUGUAUACGUGGUAGGGGAGCGUUCUGUAAGCCGAUGAAGGUGUGUUGAGAAGCAUGCUGGAGGUAUCAGAAGUGCGAAUGCUGACGUGAGUAACGACAAAACGGGUGAAAAACCCGUUCGCCGAAAGACCAAGGGUUCCAGUCCAACGUUAAUCGGGGCUGGGUGAGUCGACCCCUAAGGCGAGGCCGAAAGGCGUAGUCGAUGGGAAAAUGGUUAAUAUUCCAUUACUUCUGUGUAAUGCGAUGAGAGGACGGAGAAGGCUAAAUCAGCCUGGCGUUGGUUGUCCAGGUGAAAGGAUGUAGGCAUGUAUCUUAGGCAAAUCCGGGGUACUCUAUGCUGAGAUCUGAUAGCAAGCUGUACUUGUACAGCGAAGUGGUUGAUGCCAUGCUUCCAGGAAAAGUCUCUAAGCUUCAGUUACACAGGAAUCGUACCCGAAACCGACACAGGUGGUCAGGUCGAGUAGACCAAGGCGCUUGAGAGAACUCUGCUGAAGGAACUAGGCAAAAUGGUACCGUAACUUCGGGAGAAGGUACGCUGUUGUUGGUGAUGGAACUCGCUUCCUGAGCUGACGACAGCCGCAGAAACCAGGCCGCUGCAACUGUUUAUUAAAAACAUAGCACUCUGCAAACACGAAAGUGGACGUAUAGGGUGUGAUGCCUGCCCGGUGCUGGAAGGUUAAUUGAUGGGGUUAGCGUAAGCGAAGCUCUUGAUCGAAGCCCCAGUAAACGGCGGCCGUAACUAUAACGGUCCUAAGGUAGCGAAAUUCCUUGUCGGGUAAGUUCCGACCUGCACGAAUGGCAUAAUGAUGGCGGCGCUGUCUCCAGCAGAGGCUCAGUGAAAUCGAAAUCGCUGUGAAGAUGCAGUGUACCCGCGGCUAGACGGAAAGACCCCGUGAACCUUUACUGCAGCUUGACACUGAACUUUGACCUUACUUGUGUAGGAUAGGUGGGAGGCUUUGAAGCUGGAACGCUAGUUCCAGUGGAGCCGUCCUUGAAAUACCACCCUGGUAAUGUUGAGGUUCUAACUCUGUCCCGUGAUCCGGGACGAGGACCGUGUCUGGUGGGUAGUUUGACUGGGGCGGUCUCCUCCUAAAGAGUAACGGAGGAGUACGAAGGUGCGCUCAGCGUGGUCGGAAAUCACGCGUAGAGUAUAAAGGCAAAAGCGCGCUUAACUGCGAGACCCACAAGUCGAGCAGGUACGAAAGUAGGUCUUAGUGAUCCGGUGGUUCUGUAUGGAAGGGCCAUCGCUCAACGGAUAAAAGGUACUCUGGGGAUAACAGGCUGAUACCGCCCAAGAGUUCAUAUCGACGGCGGUGUUUGGCACCUCGAUGUCGGCUCAUCUCAUCCUGGGGCUGAAGCAGGUCCCAAGGGUAUGGCUGUUCGCCAUUUAAAGAGGUACGCGAGCUGGGUUUAGAACGUCGUGAGACAGUUCGGUCCCUAUCUACCGUGGGCGCUGGAAAUUUGAGAGGAUCUGCUCCUAGUACGAGAGGACCAGAGUGGACGAACCUCUGGUGUACCGGUUGUGACGCCAGUCGCAUCGCCGGGUAGCUAUGUUCGGAAGGGAUAACCGCUGAAAGCAUCUAAGCGGGAAGCCUACCUCAAGAUAAGAUUUCCCUAGGACUUUAUGUCCUCUAAAGAGCCGUUCGAGACUAGGACGUUGAUAGGUUGGAUGUGGAAGCAUAGUGAUAUGUGAAGCUGACCAAUACUAAUUGCUCGUGAGGCUUGACUAU